CCCCCUCCGUGCAUCGACUUCUUCGACGGCAACUUCCCCUUCUGCUACAACGACCACCAGUGUCCACCGGGCCAGAAAUGUUGCAGAGACGCCUGUUCCCAAAGGAAAGUUUGUUUGGCCGUCUGAGUAGUGCUCCAGCGACUGCAUGGCCGCAUGAUCGACUGCUGAGGAACUGCGUGCUUGGCCAUUUUAUAUCUUUCUUGUUUUUGCUGUUCGUUCAUUUCUUUAUAAUUUUCCUUGUGGACGCCAAGAUCUCCUAUUGGCUUCAGAUCUCUUCUUUGAAAUGCACAAGAAUGCCCUUUGACCAAUAAAUUUCGAUUGGAAUUUU
Long non-coding RNA from Penaeus monodon (black tiger shrimp), 328 nucleotides. RefSeq lists it as uncharacterized. The transcript is spliced from 2 exons. The record is from RefSeq and is a predicted model, not a curated record. Lineage: Eukaryota; Metazoa; Arthropoda; Malacostraca; Decapoda; Penaeidae.